This 492-nucleotide ribosomal RNA is filed under the name uncultured bacterium. RNAcentral's name for it is "partial 16S ribosomal RNA". It matches the Rfam family "Bacterial small subunit ribosomal RNA", at positions 29 to 507 of the family's 1533-position model. The record is from RNAcentral.
AGUGAACGCUGGCGGUAGGCCUAACACAUGCAAGUCGAACGGCAGCACCGUAAGAGCUUGCUCUUACGGGUGGCGAGUGGCGGACGGGUGAGGAAUACAUCGGAAUCUACUUUUUCGUGGGGGAUAACGUAGGGAAACUUACGCUAAUACCGCAUCCGACCUACGGGUGAAAGCAGGGGAUCUUCGGACCUUGCGCGAUUGAAUGAGCCGAUGUGGGAUUAGCUAGUUGGCGGGGUAAAGGCCCACCAAGGCGACGAUCCGUAGCUGGUCUGAGAGGAUGAUCAGCCACACUGGAACGGAGACACGGUCCAGAGUCCUACGGGAGGCAGCAGUGGGGAAUAUUAGACAAUGGGCGCAAGCCUGAUACAGCCAUACCGCGUGGGUGAAGAAGGCCUUCGGGUUGUAAAGCCCUUUUGUUGGGAAAGAAAAGCAGCAGGUUAAUACCCCGCUGUUCUGACGGUACCCAAAGAAUAAGCACCGGCUAACUUCGUG